AAGUCGUAACAAGGUUUCCGUAGGUGAACCUGCGGAAGGAUCAUUAAUAGACCUGUGUCUAGUUUGUGCUUAUAAGUGAUUAGCUUUGUGGUUGUUACUGUGAUUAUCAAAACUUGCAACAACGGAUCUCUAGGCUCUCC
This 140-nucleotide unclassified non-coding RNA is filed under the name fungal sp. Its description in RNAcentral is "partial internal transcribed spacer region". The stretch from base 1 to 46 matches the Rfam family "Eukaryotic small subunit ribosomal RNA", at positions 1786 to 1831 of the family's 1831-position model. The record is from RNAcentral. Lineage: Eukaryota; Fungi.